RNAcentral lists this ribosomal RNA (253 nucleotides) under uncultured bacterium. Its description in RNAcentral is "partial 16S ribosomal RNA". It matches the Rfam family "Bacterial small subunit ribosomal RNA", at positions 524 to 776 of the family's 1533-position model. The record is from RNAcentral.
UACGUAGGUGGCAAGCGUUGUCCGGAUUUAUUGGGUUUAAAGGGUGCGUAGGUGGUCUAUUAAGUCAGUGCUGAAAUAUCCCGGCUUAACCGGGAGGGUGGCAUUGAUACUGAUGGACUUGAGCGGAGUCGAGGUAGGCGGAAUUGACGGUGUAGCGGUGAAAUGCUUAGAUAUCGUCAAGAACACCGAUAGUGAAGACAGCUUACCAAGCUUCAACUGACGCUGAGGCACGAAAGUGUGGGGAUCAAACAGG